UUAGCUACAGGCUUAACACAUGCAAGUCGAGGGGCAUCAGGAAGAAAGCUUGCUUUCUUUGCUGGCGACCGGCGCACGGGUGAGUAACACGUAUCCAACCUGCCCUUUACUCGGGGAUAGCCUUUCGAAAGAAAGAUUAAUACCCGAUAGCAUAAUGAUUCCGCAUGGUUUCAUUAUUAAAGGAUUCCGGUAAAGGAUGGGGAUGCGUUCCAUUAGGUUGUUGGUGAGGUAACGGCCCACCAAGCCUUCGAUGGAUAGGGGUUCUGAGAGGAAGGUCCCCCACAUUGGAACUGAGACACGGUCCAAACUCCUACGGGAGGCAGCAGUGAGGAAUAUUGGUCAAUGGGCGCUAGCCUGAACCAGCCAAGUAGCGUGAAGGAUGAAGGCUCUAUGGGUCGUAAACUUCUUUUAUAUAAGAAUAAAGUGCAGUAUGUAUACUGUUUUGUAUGUAUUAUAUGAAUAAGGAUCGGCUAACUCCGUGCCAGCAGCCGCGGUAAUACGGAGGAUCCGAGCGUUAUCCGGAUUUAUUGGGUUUAAAGGGAGCGUAGGUGGACUGGUAAGUCAGUUGUGAAAGUUUGCGGCUCAACCGUAAAAUUGCAGUUGAUACUGUCAGUCUUGAGUACAGUAGAGGUGGGCGGAAUUCGUGGUGUAGCGGUGAAAUGCUUAGAUAUCACGAAGAACUCCGAUUGCGAAGGCAACUCACUGGACUGCAACUGACACUGAUGCUCGAAAGUGUGGGUAUCAAACAGGAUUAGAUACCCUGGUAGUCCACACAGUAAACGAUGAAUACUCGCUGUUUGCGAUAUACAGUAAGCGGCCAAGCGAAAGCAUUAAGUAUUCCACCUGGGGAGUACGCCGGCAACGGUGAAACUCAAAGGAAUUGACGGGGGCCCGCACAAGCGGAGGAACAUGUGGUUUAAUUCGAUGAUACGCGAGGAACCUUACCCGGGCUUAAAUUGCAGUGGAAUGAUGUGGAAACAUGUCAGUGAGCAAUCACCGCUGUGAAGGUGCUGCAUGGUUGUCGUCAGCUCGUGCCGUGAGGUGUCGGCUUAAGUGCCAUAACGAGCGCAACCCUUAUCUUCAGUUACUAACAGGUCAUGCUGAGGACUCUGGAGAGACUGCCGUCGUAAGAUGUGAGGAAGGUGGGGAUGACGUCAAAUCAGCACGGCCCUUACGUCCGGGGCUACACACGUGUUACAAUGGGGGGUACAGAAGGCAGCUAGCGGGUGACCGUAUGCUAAUCCCAAAAGCCUCUCUCAGUUCGGAUCGAAGUCUGCAACCCGACUUCGUGAAGCUGGAUUCGCUAGUAAUCGCGCAUCAGCCACGGCGCGGUGAAUACGUUCCCGGGCCUUGUACACACCGCCCGUCAAGCCAUGGGAGCCGGGGGUACCUGAAGUACGUAACCGCAAGGAUCGUCCUAGGGUAAAACUGGUGACUGGGGC
This 1442-nucleotide ribosomal RNA is filed under the name uncultured organism. Its description in RNAcentral is "SSU rRNA". It matches the Rfam family "Bacterial small subunit ribosomal RNA". The record is from RNAcentral.